RNAcentral lists this unclassified non-coding RNA (314 nucleotides) under fungal sp. RNAcentral's name for it is "partial internal transcribed spacer region". The stretch from base 1 to 46 matches the Rfam family "Eukaryotic small subunit ribosomal RNA", at positions 1786 to 1831 of the family's 1831-position model. Lineage: Eukaryota; Fungi. The record is from RNAcentral.
AAGUCGUAACAAGGUUUCCGUAGGUGAACCUGCGGAAGGAUCAUUAUCGUGUUUUGUUCUUCUCCGAAAGGAAAGAACACAAACGUAUUCACCCACUUGUGAACUGUUCAAAACUCUAACCUUUUGGUAGUUGGAUGUUAAGGCUUGUCCUUACUUCUGACUAUUCAAAAGAGUAUUAUUUCAUUUUAACCAUUAUUCACCACUUGUAAUUGAUGUGCUAAACUAAAUCUUUUCUUUGAAAAGCUUCCGAGCUCUUUCAGAAAAGAAAGUACGAAAUUGCUGAACAACUCUUAGCAACGGAUAUCUUGGUUCUC